UACGGAGGGUGCAAGCGUUGCUCGGAAUUAUUGGGCGUAAAGGGCAGGUAGGUGGUCUCAUUUGUCUGGGGUGAAAGCCUUGAGCUUAACUCAAGAAGUGCCCCAGAAACGGUGAGACUCGAGUACUGGAGAGGCUAGUGGAAUUCCCGGUGUAGCGGUGAAAUGCGUAGAGAUCGGGAGGAACACCAGAGGCGAAGGCGGCUAGCUGGACAGUCACUGACACUCAACUGCGAAAGCGUGGGGAGCAAACAGG
This 253-nucleotide ribosomal RNA is filed under the name uncultured bacterium. Its description in RNAcentral is "partial 16S ribosomal RNA". It matches the Rfam family "Bacterial small subunit ribosomal RNA", at positions 524 to 776 of the family's 1533-position model. The record is from RNAcentral.